CCCGGAUAUCCGUUUAAAAGAAAAUAAAAUUUUGCUACUCCCUCAACUAGCCCGGCCCACUUACGCUUAGGGUUUCAUUUUUCUCACCCCAAAAAAAAAGCCACCAUCAUUCACUCAGUCAGAUUUCUUCUCUCUCUUUCCUUUUUCUUGCGCCUCAUCUCCUUUAUCAAAAAAUCAUCUCAAUCAAUUCUUCACUCGAAAUUCGACCACAUUCAUCAUCAAACAUCAGUCGAUUUCAGAUCUAAACCUUAAAUGCCUCUGUAUCACCGCUGUCCUUGACUCCUUGCCGCUGACCACUCUACAACGGAAUGAAAGAAUUGGUUUUGGAACAACCGACGUCCGACGAUUGUUAUUGAUGAGACAAUUGAAAUGUCGGAUCUCACAAGUGAAUGAAUUGAAGCCCUCCCAUUUCUUUUGUUGUGUGUCUUUGUGCCAUUAUUUGUAAUUUAUAUGUUUUGAAGUUAUGUAAUUAUAGACUCAAAAACUUUGUAUUUCCGUCCUUAAACUCUAGCUUGGAUUUUGUUUUA
Molecule: long non-coding RNA, 527 nt
Organism: Chenopodium quinoa (quinoa)
Lineage: Eukaryota; Viridiplantae; Streptophyta; Magnoliopsida; Caryophyllales; Amaranthaceae
Exons: 3
Source: RefSeq, a predicted model, not a curated record